AGAGUUUGAUUCUGGCUCAGGAUGAACGCUAGCUACAGGCUUAACACAUGCAAGUCGAGGGGCAGCAUUUUAGUUUGCUUGCAAACUAAAGAUGGCGACCGGCGCACGGGUGAGUAACACGUAUCCAACCUGCCGAUAACUCGGGGAUAGCCUUUCGAAAGAAAGAUUAAUAUCCGAUAGUAUAUUUUCUCCGCAUGGCGAGAAUAUUAAAGAAUUUCGGUUAUCGAUGGGGAUGCGUUCCAUUAGUUUGUUGGCGGGGUAACGGCCCACCAAGACUACGAUGGAUAGGGGUUCUGAGAGGAAGGUCCCCCACAUUGGAACUGAGACACGGUCCAA
This 336-nucleotide ribosomal RNA is filed under the name uncultured bacterium. RNAcentral describes it as "bacterial SSU rRNA". It matches the Rfam family "Bacterial small subunit ribosomal RNA", at positions 8 to 334 of the family's 1533-position model. The record is from RNAcentral.